AGCUUCCUGAAUCUCUGCAGAGAUUUCGUCAGACACCAGCCCAUUAGGUCUGAUCAGACUUCUAAUAUAAGUGAAGUU
This 78-nucleotide microRNA precursor is filed under the name Schistosoma mansoni. RNAcentral's name for it is "mir-3492 microRNA precursor family". It matches the Rfam family "mir-3492 microRNA precursor family". Lineage: Eukaryota; Metazoa; Platyhelminthes; Trematoda; Strigeidida; Schistosomatidae. The record is from Rfam by way of RNAcentral.